This 247-nucleotide ribosomal RNA is filed under the name uncultured bacterium. Its description in RNAcentral is "partial 16S ribosomal RNA". It matches the Rfam family "Bacterial small subunit ribosomal RNA", at positions 523 to 769 of the family's 1533-position model. The record is from RNAcentral.
AUACGAAGGGAGCUAGCGUUGUUCGGAAUUACUGGGCGUAAAGGGCGCGUAGGCGGUCCGAUUAGUCAGAUGUGAAAGCCCUGGGCUUAACCCGGGAACUGCGUUUGAUACUGUCGGGCUUGAAUUCGGGAGAGGUAAGUGGAAUUCCCAGUGUAGAGGUGAAAUUCGUAGAGAUUGGGAAGAACAUCCGUGGCGAAGGCGGCUUACUGGACCGACAUUGACGCUGAGGCGCGAAAGCGUGGGGAGC